CAAUCUGAAUUACUGUAGAUAAAACAUAGAUGCACAAUGACACAGUAAAGCAUGCGUCAUACAAACAAAAUGUUUAUUCAGGUGCUUACGUGUCAAGUAAAAAUCAUGGUGAUUGCAUUAUUAAUUAUCUAACUGAAAACAAUCAUUUUCAUGAAUACAAUAAUUUACGCAAGUGAACAUUUUAUUCAAAAUAUGAACAAUACAAAUUUAAAGCUUAUAUAUAAUUAACAAGAAACAUAUCAUGCUUUCUGCUUUCACGUCAGGAAUUGAUGAUACAAGAUCUCCGACGUAAUAUUUAUGGUCCUUUUGGGAAAUGAUUUACCUUGAUGGUUGACUAAUUACUUUUGUCACUUACCAAGAACGAAAAAGAAAACUUUGUUUAGAUAUUUAUACCUUGAUACUAUACACACUAAUGAGAUUUUGUUUUCGAACGUCGCCCAAGUAACAUAAAUAUCAAAAGGAUUCCGGUUAUGAUAAAUUAACGAACGUGAAAACGGCAGGACAAGAAAUAAAAAAGGUGACUCUUCUCACACAGUUCAGAUCUCAUCAUAGAAGGAGAAUGACAUUGGAAUUAACAUUGUACUUGAUUAGCUUGUAAAGCAGGAAGAAGUAGUUGCAGCGUCUAUUACCAUUUUACUUUUGAUUCCCGGUUUCAUUCGGUGCAUAUUUGAUACAAAAUCAAUUAAAUACAAUAAUUUGCAUAUCUUCCUAGGUUUUGAUCUCAUUUAUUCCUGUACCAUCUAAUUGAAAAAUAUUGAUGUUUUUUUUCUUUCUAUCCAACGUUUUUGAUCAAAGUCCACAAAGGAAUACAUAUAUUUCUUUUUAAAAGUAAGAACAAAC
RNAcentral lists this long non-coding RNA (840 nucleotides) under Mytilus galloprovincialis (Mediterranean mussel). Lineage: Eukaryota; Metazoa; Mollusca; Bivalvia; Mytilida; Mytilidae. The record is from RNAcentral.